GAUGAAGAACGUAGCGAAAUGCGAUAAGUAGUGUGAAUUGCAGAAUUCAGUGAAUCAUCGAAUCUUUGAACGCACAUUGCGCCUCCUGGCAUUCCAUGGGGCAUGCCUGUUCGAGCGUCAUUUGUACCUUCAAGCUUUGCUUGGUGUUGGGUGUUUGUCUCGCCUUUGCGUGUAGACUCGCCUUAAAAUAAUUGGCAGCCGGCGUAUUGAUUUCGGAGCGCAGUACAUCUCGCGCUUUGCACUCAUAACGACAGCGUCCAAAAGUACAUUUUACACUCUUGACCUCGGAUCAGGUAGGGAUACCCGCUGAACUUAAGCAUAUCAAUAAGCGGAGGA
RNAcentral lists this unclassified non-coding RNA (336 nucleotides) under soil metagenome. RNAcentral describes it as "partial contains 5.8S ribosomal RNA, internal transcribed spacer 2, and large subunit ribosomal RNA". The stretch from base 1 to 120 matches the Rfam family "5.8S ribosomal RNA", at positions 35 to 154 of the family's 154-position model. The record is from RNAcentral.